AAUGAUUGAUGAAGCACAUGCUCAGAAUGGAAAAAUAAAGGCUUUUACAUCUUUCUGUGGUGGACUUCCAUCUCCAGCUGCCGCAAACAAUCCACUGGCCUACAAGUUCAGGUAAAUUCAACUAUAGUGACUAGUAGUGUAACAAGGUCUCCACGCCUGGAGCUUGUGGCACAAUAUUGCAUGAAACAAGUUUUACCAGCAAUUCUGAUUGGUAUUUGUCUUGUUCUUAGUUGGAGUCCAGCAGGUGCCAUCCGAGCAGGAAGAAAUCCUGCUGUCUACAAAUUUCUUGGAGAGACCAUCAAUGUGGAUGGUAAGUUAGUCUCGUAUCUCUUCAAUUGCCCAGAGAAAGGGAGCACAUUUCAAUAGACUGGUUUACCCACACAAAUUUACUGAACCAAAGGCUAACCUUAUACUUAAUCCAUCGGGCCAAUUGCACCCCUGCUGCUGUGAAGAUC
RNAcentral lists this long non-coding RNA (455 nucleotides) under Triticum aestivum (bread wheat). RNAcentral's name for it is "long non-coding RNA (TAES_LNC010802)". Lineage: Eukaryota; Viridiplantae; Streptophyta; Magnoliopsida; Poales; Poaceae. The record is from RNAcentral.